RNAcentral lists this ribosomal RNA (497 nucleotides) under uncultured bacterium. RNAcentral's name for it is "partial 16S ribosomal RNA". It matches the Rfam family "Bacterial small subunit ribosomal RNA", at positions 28 to 507 of the family's 1533-position model. The record is from RNAcentral.
GAUGAACGCUGGCGGCGUGCCUAAUACAUGCAAGUCGAGCGAACGGACGAGAAGCUUGCUUCUCUGAUGUUAGCGGCGGACGGGUGAGUAACACGUGGAUACCCUCCCUAUAAGACUGGGAUAACUUCGGGACACCGGCUCUAAUACCGGAUGAUAUUUUGAACCGCAUGGUUCAAAAGUGAUAGACGGUCUUGCUGUCACUUAUAGAUGGAUCCGCGCUGCAUUAGCUAGUUGGUAAGGUAACGGCUUACCAAGGCAACGAUGCAUAGCCGACCUGAGAGGGUGAUCGGCCGCACUGGAACUGAGACACGGUCCAGAGUCCUACGGGAGGCAGCAGUAGGGAAUCUGCCGCAAUGGGCGAAAACCUGACGGAGCAACGCCGCGUGAGUGAUGAAGGUCUUCGGAUCGGAAAACUCUGUUAUUAGGGAAGAACAUAUGUGUAAGUAACUGUGCACAUCUUGACGGUACCUAAUCAGAAAGCCACGGCUAACUACGUG